RNAcentral lists this transfer RNA (64 nucleotides) under Plagiopholis styani. RNAcentral describes it as "tRNA-Lys". The record is from RNAcentral. Lineage: Eukaryota; Metazoa; Chordata; Lepidosauria; Squamata; Colubridae.
CACUGAGAAGCUUUUAUAGCAUUAACCUUUUAAGUUGAAGAAGAAAUUUGACUUUCCUUGGUGA